RNAcentral lists this transfer RNA (75 nucleotides) under Candidatus Nomurabacteria bacterium. RNAcentral's name for it is "tRNA-Asn". It matches the Rfam family "tRNA". Rfam says of the family: Transfer RNA (tRNA) molecules are approximately 80 nucleotides in length. The record is from RNAcentral. Lineage: Bacteria; Candidatus Nomuraibacteriota. RNAcentral also lists the same sequence under 1 other name.
UCCGGCGUAGCUCAGCGGUAGAGCAUUCGACUGUUAAUCGAAUGGCCACUGGUUCGAAUCCAGUCGCCGGAGCCA